RNAcentral lists this ribosomal RNA (447 nucleotides) under uncultured bacterium. RNAcentral describes it as "bacterial SSU rRNA". It matches the Rfam family "Bacterial small subunit ribosomal RNA", at positions 391 to 848 of the family's 1533-position model. The record is from RNAcentral.
GCGACGCCGCGUGGGGGAUGACGGCCUUCGGGUUGUAAACCUCUUUCGCCAGGGACGAAGCUUUUGUGACGGUACCUGGAGAAGAAGCACCGGCCAACUACGUGCCAGCAGCCGCGGUAACACGUAGGGUGCGAGCGUUGUCCGGAAUUAUUGGGCGUAAAGAGCUCGUAGGCGGUGUGUCGCGUCGGCCGUGAAAACCUGGGGCUUAACUCUGGGCGUGCGGUCGAUACGGGCAUCACUUGAGUUCGGCAGGGGAGACUGGAAUUCCUGGUGUAGCGGUGAAAUGCGCAGAUAUCGGGAGGAACACCAGUAGCGAAGGCGGCUCNCUGGGCCGUUCCUGACGCUGAGACGCGAAAGCUAGGGGAGCGAACAGGAUUAGAUACCCUGGUAGUCCUAGCCGUAAACGAUGGACACUAGGUGUGGGGGGAGUCGAAUCCCUCUGUGCCG